Molecule: ribosomal RNA, 497 nt
Filed under: uncultured bacterium
Lineage: Bacteria
Description: partial 16S ribosomal RNA
Rfam family: Bacterial small subunit ribosomal RNA
Source: RNAcentral
GAUGAACGCUGGCGGCGUGCCUAAUACAUGCAAGUCGAGCGAACGGACGAGAAGCUUGCUUCUCUGAUGUUAGCGGCGGACGGGUGAGUAACACGUGGAUAACCUACCUAUAAGACUGGGAUAACUUCGGGAAACCGGAGCUAAUACCGGAUAAUAUUUUGAACCGCAUGGUUCAAAAGUGAAAGACGGUCUUGCUGUCACUUAUAGAUGGAUCCGCGCUGCAUUAGCUAGUUGGUAAGGUAACGGCUUACCAAGGCAACGAUGCAUAUCCGACCUGAGAGGGUGAUCGGCCACACUGGAACUGAGACACGGUCCAGACUCCUACGGGAGGCAGCAGUAGGGAAUCUUCCGCAAUGGGCGAAAGCCUGACGGAGCAACGCCGCGUGAGUGAUGAAGGUCUUCAGAUCGUAAAACUCUGUUAUUAGGGAAGAACAUAUGUGUAAGUAACUGUGCACAUCUUGACGGUACCUAAUCAGAAAGCCACGGCUAACUACGUG